RNAcentral lists this ribosomal RNA (485 nucleotides) under uncultured bacterium. RNAcentral's name for it is "partial 16S ribosomal RNA". It matches the Rfam family "Bacterial small subunit ribosomal RNA", at positions 899 to 1397 of the family's 1533-position model. The record is from RNAcentral.
ACUCAAAUGAAUUGACGGGGACUCACACAAGCAGUGGACCAUGUGGCUUAAUUCGACAACAAACGAAGAACCUUACCAGGACUAGAAACCCAACUGACACUCUGAUGAAAGUCAGACUUCGCAAGACAGUUGGGCAGGUGCUGCAUGGUUGUCGUCAGUUCGUGUCUUGAGACGUUCCCUUAAUUGGGGUAACGAACGCAACCCUUGCUCUGUGUUUUACAUGUCACAGAGGACUGCCCGAGAUAAUUGGGAGGAAGGCGAGGAUGACGCCAAAUCAGCAUGGCCCUUGAUGUCCUGGGCUGCACACGUGGUACAAUGGUCGGUACAAUGGGCGCUAAACCUUAAGGUGGAGCAUAAUCCCAUCAAAACCGAUCCCAGUUCGGAUUGAGGGCUGAAACUCGCCCUCAUGAAGUUGGAAUUGCUAGUAAUCGCCAAUCAGCUACGUGGCGAUGAAUACGUUCCUGAGUCUUGUACACACCGCCCGU